AAUUUUGGACAAUGGGGGCAACCCUGAUCCAGCCAUCCCGCCUGUGCGAUGAAGGCCUUCGGUUUAUAAACCACUUUUGGCAGGGAAUAAAAGGCGCGGGCUAAUACCCCGCGCCGCUUACGGUCCCGUCAGAAUAAGCACCGGCUAACUCCGUGCCCGCAGCCGCGGUAAUACGUAGGGUGCAAGCGUUAAUCGGAAUUACUGGGCGUAAAGCGUGCGCAGGCGGUUCGGCAAGAGGGAUGUGAAAUCCCGGGGCUUAACCUCGGAACUGCAUUCUUAACUGCCGGGCUAGAGUAUGUCAGAGGGGGGUAGAAUUCCACGUGUAGCAGUGAAGUGCGUAGAGAUGUGGAGGAAUACCGAUGGCGAAGGCAGCACCCUGGGAUGAUACUGACGCUCAUGCACGAAAGCGUGGGGAGCAAACAG
This 423-nucleotide ribosomal RNA is filed under the name uncultured bacterium. RNAcentral describes it as "partial 16S ribosomal RNA". It matches the Rfam family "Bacterial small subunit ribosomal RNA", at positions 360 to 775 of the family's 1533-position model. The record is from RNAcentral.